This 253-nucleotide ribosomal RNA is filed under the name uncultured bacterium. RNAcentral's name for it is "partial 16S ribosomal RNA". It matches the Rfam family "Bacterial small subunit ribosomal RNA", at positions 524 to 776 of the family's 1533-position model. The record is from RNAcentral.
UACGUAGGGUGCAAGCGUUAAUCGGAAUUACUGGGCGUAAAGCGUGCGCAGGCGGUUUUGUAAGACUGACGUGAAAUCCCCGGGCUCAACCUGGGAAUGGCGUUGGUGACUGCAAGGCUAGAGUUUGGCAGAGGGGGGUAGAAUUCCACGUGUAGCAGUGAAAUGCGUAGAUAUGUGGAGGAACACCGAUGGCGAAGGCAGCCCCCUGGGUCAAAACUGACGCUCAUGCACGAAAGCGUGGGGAGCAAACAGG